RNA transcript from Felis catus (domestic cat), 951 nucleotides. It is a transcript of the gene named apelin receptor early endogenous ligand, with no coding region annotated. The record is from RefSeq and is a predicted model, not a curated record. The transcript is spliced from 4 exons. Lineage: Eukaryota; Metazoa; Chordata; Mammalia; Carnivora; Felidae.
GAGGGAGGCUCGACCACAGCACCAGUAACCUUGUCUGAUGUGAUCAUUAACCUUUCUGGAAAAUGCAGCUGGCAGUUCUCUGAGGCUCGUCAUUAGAAUGUGAGGAAAGCCACACAGAUAUUGCCCAGACUAUUCAAAGAUUGUUUGGUUUACACUGAGAGCUAUUGCUCCGCUUCCGUGCGGCAGAAAAAUGAGGUUGCAACAAUUCUUUUGUGUAUUUUUUAUUUUUGUGAUGAGUCUUCUUCUUAUCGACGGACAGAGACCAGCUAAUUUGGCGUUGAGAAGAAAAUUGCACAGACACAACUGCCUUCAGAGGAGAUGUAUGCCACUCCAUUCACGGGUGCCCUUCCCCUGAGGGGAUAAGAAAGAAUCAAGACUGGCUUGCAUGGAUUCAAGCUCUGGCCACAAGCUCGUUCAGUGGUCAUUGAUCUUAAGCUAACUUCACCUGGUCUGCCAGAAGAGGAGUGAAUAAAAGAUACCCACCCACACCAUAGUGUGAUUGCUUAGAAGUUCCUGUUCAAAAAGGAAUCAUUUGAAAGCACCUGCGAUGGUUUCUUAGUUUUACAGGAUUCUCUUUUUCCUGGUUUCUCUUUAGAGGGGAAAAUAACGUAAAUUCAAAAACAAUUCCAAUCUGAAGCACAGUUAUUUGCUUAUAUAACAAAAUCUCUCAUCUUUUUCUGUAUAUUGCUAUUCUUAGGUGAGUUAAAAAGAAAUAUACUUUUUAAUGUCUUAGAACUCUGUAAUAAUAAAAAGUACAAGAACUAAAAUUUUUCUUUCAUAUUCCUAUAAUUCUCCAAAAUUAAAAUAAGUGUUUAUAUGUUUGAGUGAUUUUUUUCCAAAAAUGCUAAAUCUGAAAUAAAAUGCAUUGGUCAUUUGGCUUUACAGAAUAGGGAUAAAUUAAUUAGUUCAUCGAUUCUUUUUUUUUUUUUUUUUUUUUGGGACAGAGAGAGA